This 433-nucleotide ribosomal RNA is filed under the name uncultured bacterium. RNAcentral's name for it is "partial 16S ribosomal RNA". It matches the Rfam family "Bacterial small subunit ribosomal RNA", at positions 29 to 507 of the family's 1533-position model. The record is from RNAcentral.
AACGAACGCUGGCGGCAUGCCUAACACAUGCAUGUCGAACGAGACCUUCGGGUCUAGUGGCGCACGGGUGCGUAACGCGUGGGAACCUGCCCUUAGGUUCGGAAUAACUCCCCGAAAGGGGUGCUAAUACCGGAUAAUGUCUUCGGACCAAAGAUUUAUCGCCUUUGGAUGGGCCCGCGUUGGAUUAGCUAGUUGGUAGGGUAAAAGCCUACCAAGGCGACGAUCCAUAGCUGGUCUGAGAGGAUGAUCAGCCACACUGGGACUGAGACACGGCCCAGACUCCUACGGGAGGCAGCAGUGGGGAAUAUUGGACAAUGGGCGAAAGCCUGAUCCAGCAAUGCCGCGUGAGUGAUGAAGGCCUUAGGGUUGUAAAGCUCUUUUACCCGGGAUGAUAAUGACAGUACCGGGAGAAUAAGCUCCGGCUAACUCCGUG